GCUUAGCCCUAAACCUAGAUAUUUAACAUACAAAAAUAUCCGCCAGAGAACUACGAGCAUAAACGCUUAAAACUCUAAGGACUUGGCGGUACCUCAAACCCUCCUAGAGGAGCCUGUUCUAUAAUCGAUAAUCCACGAUAUACCCUACCAUCUCUUGCUAAUCCCGCCUAUAUACCGCCGUCACCAGCUUACCCCCUGAGGGAUAUAAAAAGUAAGCAAAAUAACUAAAAAGUUAAUAAGUCAGGUCAAGGUGUAGCUUACUGAGAUGGGAGAAAUGGGCUACAUUUUCUACAUUAGAAAUUAAUUUACGGAAGGAAACUAUGAAACUAGUCCUGCAAGUAGGAUUUAGCAGUAAACCUGGAUCAUAAUGCCUAAUUUAAACCGGUCCUGAGGUGCGC
This 398-nucleotide ribosomal RNA is filed under the name Malayemys subtrijuga (Mekong snail-eating turtle). RNAcentral describes it as "partial 12S ribosomal RNA". It matches the Rfam family "Bacterial small subunit ribosomal RNA", at positions 794 to 1384 of the family's 1533-position model. The record is from RNAcentral. Lineage: Eukaryota; Metazoa; Chordata; Testudines; Geoemydidae.